This 437-nucleotide ribosomal RNA is filed under the name Acanthamoeba sp. MN-ISP128-T4. RNAcentral describes it as "SSU rRNA". It matches the Rfam family "Eukaryotic small subunit ribosomal RNA", at positions 765 to 1096 of the family's 1831-position model. The record is from RNAcentral. Lineage: Eukaryota; Discosea; Longamoebia; Acanthamoebidae.
CACAUUGUGUUUUCAAGCAGGCAGAUCCAUUUUCUGCCACCGAAUACAUUAGCAUGGGAUAAUGGAAUAGGACCCUGUCCUCCUAUUUUCAGUUGGUUUUGGCAGCGCGAGGACUAGGGUAAUGAUUAAUAGGGAUAGUUGGGGGCAUUAAUAUUUAAUUGUCAGAGGUGAAAUUCUUGGAUUUAUGAAAGAUUAACUUCUGCGAAAGCAUCUGCCAAGGAUGUUUUCAUUAAUCAAGAACGAAAGUUAGGGGAUCGAAGACGAUCAGAUACCGUCGUAGUCUUAACCAUAAACGAUGCCGACCAGCGAUUAGGAGACGUUGAAUACAAAACACCACCAUCGGUUGCGGUCGUCCUUGGCGUCUCGGUUUCGGCCGGGGCGCGGGGACGGUUUAGCCCGGUGGCACCGGUGAAUGACUCCCUAGCAGCUUGUGAGAA